Molecule: small RNA, 107 nt
Filed under: Marmota monax (woodchuck)
Lineage: Eukaryota; Metazoa; Chordata; Mammalia; Rodentia; Sciuridae
Source: RNAcentral
GCAGGGUGUGGUGAUGGGCACCUGUAAUCCUAGCAACUCGGGAGGCUGAGACAGGAAGAUUGCAAAUUUGAGGAUUCUCUUAGUAACUUAGCAAGACCCUGUUUUGA